AUUGAACGCUGGCGGCAUGCUUUACACAUGCAAGUCGGACGAGUGGCGAACGGGUGAGUAAUAUAUUGGACCGUACCGAGUAAUGGGGGAUAACCAAUCGAAAGAUUGGCUAAUACCGCAUGUUAUUCGAGCGGCCAAUAUCUGAUUAGCUAGUUGGUGGGGUAAAGGCCUACCAAGGCGACGAUCAGUAGCGGGGCUGAGAGGAUGAUCCGCAACCCGGGGACUGAGACACGGCCCAGACUCCUACGGGAGGCAGCAGUGGGGAAUGUGGGGCAAUGGGCGAAAGCCUGAUACAGCCAUGCCGCGUGUCUGAAGAAGGCAUUCGGGUUGUAAAGGACUUUUGUUAGGGAAGCGGUACCUAAAGAAGAAGCACCGGCUAACUACGUGCCAGCCGCCGCGGUAAUAC
RNAcentral lists this ribosomal RNA (406 nucleotides) under uncultured bacterium. RNAcentral describes it as "partial 16S ribosomal RNA". It matches the Rfam family "Bacterial small subunit ribosomal RNA", at positions 30 to 526 of the family's 1533-position model. The record is from RNAcentral.